CCCAGGCGCACCCAGAAACCCUUUGUGAACUCAUACCUUACUGUUGCCUCGGCGCAGGCCGGCCCCCCGGGGCCCCCCGGAGACGGGGAGCAGCCCGCCGGCGGCCGACCCAACUCUUGUUUAUACACCGAUACUCUGAGAAACAAACAUAAAUGAAUCAAAACUUUCAACAACGGAUCUCUUGGUUCUGGCAUCGAUGAAGAACGCAGCGAAAUGCGAUAAGUAAUGUGAAUUGCAGAAUUCAGUGAAUCAUCGAAUCUUUGAACGCACAUUGCGCCCUCUGGUAUUCCGGAGGGCAUGCCUGUUCGAGCGUCAUUUCAACCCUCAAGCCUGGCUUGGUGUUGGGGCGCUGCGCCCCUCGCGGGGCGCAGGCCCUGAAAUUCAGUGGCGGGCUCGCCAGGACCCCGAGCGCAGUAGUUAAACCCUCGCUCCGGAAGGCCCUGGCGGUGCCCUGCCGUUAAACCCCCAACUUCUGAAAAUUUGACCUCGGAUCAGGUAGGAAUACCCGCUGAACUUAAGCAUAUCAAUAAGCGGAGGAA
Molecule: ribosomal RNA, 539 nt
Filed under: Diaporthe phaseolorum
Lineage: Eukaryota; Fungi; Ascomycota; Sordariomycetes; Diaporthales; Diaporthaceae
Description: eukaryotic LSU rRNA
Rfam family: 5.8S ribosomal RNA (bases 162-315)
Source: RNAcentral